This is a long non-coding RNA of Oncorhynchus tshawytscha (Chinook salmon), 360 nucleotides long. Lineage: Eukaryota; Metazoa; Chordata; Actinopteri; Salmoniformes; Salmonidae. The record is from Ensembl.
CAGACAGAGAGGAGGUUUAUAUGAGGAAUGACAGACAGAGAGGAGGUUUAUAUGAGGAAUGAUAGACAGAGGAGAUUUAUAGGGGUACAGGAUGAGGAAUGACAAACAGAGAGGAGGUUUAUUUGAGGAAUGGCAGACAGAGAGGAGGUUUAUAGGGGUACAGGAUUAGGAAUGACAAACCGAGAGGAGGUUUAUAAGGGUACAGGAUGAAGAAUGACAGACAUAGAGGUUUAAAGGAGGAAUGACAGACAGAGAGGAGGUUUAUAUGAGGAAUGACAGACAGAGAGGAGGUUUAUAUGAGGAAUGACAGACAGAGAGCAGGUUUAUAGGGGUGCAGGAUGAGGAAUGACAGACAGAGAG